UUCUGUGCUCUCUGACUGUCUUUAUCAUUAUGAUAGAGAGCUGUGUGUCACAGUCAAUAUCUCCACUGGAGAACAAAGUGCUGGUUCAUGCUCUUGAAGAUAAGACAGUUACUCUCUCCUGCAAGUAUGAAUACAGCGGCGAUGUGAACAGUCUGCAGUGGUAUCGUCAGUAUCCUGGAUCCAGACCAGAGUAUUUACUGAUGAUAAUUCCAACAAUAAAAGCUGUGAGCCAUGCAACUCCACCUUUCCCACGACUGAAUGCUACAGAAAAUAACAAAACAGUGGAUCUGAUCAUCUCCUCUGCUGAAGUAUCAGACUCUGCACUCUACUACUGCGCCCUGCAGCCCACAGUGACAGGAAACCCAGCUACACUGUACAAAAACAUUUUGCAUCACUCAUGCAGAGUCACAUUUGUUGGGGAAGCUGUUUGUCUUCAUCUCAUACAUAGGGACUACAUAACACAUGCAUAAGCACUGAAUAUCAUGUUAAUAAAGCAAUAUUUGAGUACUUAUGAUAUUAGCUCAUGUCUGCUAAUAUUUGCAAGAUGA
Non-coding RNA from Pygocentrus nattereri (red-bellied piranha), 548 nucleotides. The record is from the annotation of a RefSeq genome assembly. NCBI's taxonomy places the organism in Eukaryota, Metazoa, Chordata, Actinopteri, Characiformes, Serrasalmidae.